RNAcentral lists this long non-coding RNA (559 nucleotides) under Crocodylus porosus (Australian saltwater crocodile). Its description in RNAcentral is "lncRNA (ENSCPRG00005008456.1)". The record is from RNAcentral. Lineage: Eukaryota; Metazoa; Chordata; Crocodylia; Crocodylidae.
GCGGGCGCUUCAGCACCCUGGACAGCGCCGGGCGGCCGGGCUGGACAGCGGCGGGGAAGGCGGGGGCCCCGCGCGCCCCCAGUCACAGUCGUGUCGGGGAGGUGCGGGCACCAGCCCGGCCGCCCAGGUAAACAUAUGGGGAAUUACUGCCAAAUAGGUGGGCUGUUCUGAAGAGAUGAAGCAGCAGACACGCUGAGUCCAAAGGAAUCCUCCAGGAUCCCCGCAGGACGCCUUCAUGGUGUCUUUCUCCCCUGAGAUGCGAUGGAAAGAGCACAAUGCAAAACAGCAGGUUUGCUUCCUCUGUAAGCAGAGAGGAGAAAAAGGGGCAGCUCCUCCAAAGAGACUGGCUCAAUCUUUUGACAGGAUUGCUGCAAUCUGACUACAAAGCUCCAACAAGCCUCCGCCUCAGGAAAAUUCAUCUCUGCCCUCCCAACACACCCUGCAGCACCGAGAGGCCCUCCCUGAGGUUAAGGCCGUGUUAUGCUGGGCACCGCAGAGACCUGUAAUUGGUUGUCCACUGGAGACCUGUGAAUAAAUGCAGCAACCUGAUUGACUGCCA